AGACACGUGCAAGCCCAAUCCAUGCAAAACACAGGGAGGGCCAUGGUAAAAGCAUCACAGCGGGGACCUGAGAGGGUGAUGACGCUCAAGUUCGUCAAGAAAGGUAAGCAGGUCUUUUGGCCGGGCGCGGUGGCUCACGCCUGUAAUCCCAGCACUUUGGGAGGCCGAGGCAGGCGGAUCACGAGGUCAGGAGUUCGAGACCAGCCUGGCCAACAUGGCGAAACCCCGUCUCUACUAAAAAUACAAAAAUUAGCUGGGCAUAGUGGCACGCGCCUGUAAUCCCAGCUACUCGGGAGGCUGAGGCAGGAGAAUUGCUUGAAUCUGGGAGGUGGAGGUUGCAGUGAGCUGAGAUCACACCACUGCACUCCAGCCUGGGUGACAGAGCGAGACUCCAUCUCAAAAAAAAAAAAAAAAAAAAGGUAAGCAGGUCUUUCAAGGCAUUCCAAGCAUAAGGAAGAGCAUGAAUGAGGCCUAGAAGGAUGCCAGUGCCCGACGUGACGUGGGAGCCCUUUUCCCAGAGUUACAUGCUGGGCCCAUGAUGGGUGUGGGCCUGCAUGGGACAGGAGAGCUUGUUGCAGAGAUGUGAUGCUAGGCUGAGGUGUCUUAUCCCGUGCAGUCUUUCCUGUCUGUCUUCCGCUCACUGGCGAUGCUGGAGAAGACGGUGGAAAAAUGCUGCAUCUCCCUGAACGGCCGGAGCAGCCGCCUGGUGGUCCAGCUGCAUUGCAAGUUCGGUGAGUGGGCAGCCGGCCAGCCAAGGGGUGCCUCAGCAGGGAGGUCGGCGAGGCCCACUGAGACCCUAUCGCCUAUCCAGGGGUGCGGAAGACUCACAACCUGUCCUUCCAGGACUGUGAGUCCCUGCAGGCCGUCUUCGACCCAGCCUCGUGCCCCCACAUGCUCCGCGCCCCAGCACGGGUUCUGGGGGAGGCUGUUCUGCCCUUCUCUCCUGCACUGGCUGAAGUGACGCUGGGCAUUGGCCGUGGCCGCAGGGUCAUCCUGCGCAGCUACCACGAGGAGGAGGCAGACAGCACUGCCAAAGCCAUGGUGACUGAGAUGUGCCUUGGAGAGGAGGAUUUCCAGCAGCUGCAGGCCCAGGAAGGGGUGGCCAUCACUUUCUGCCUCAAGGAAUUCCGGGUGAGGUUCCUCCCAGGUGCUCGCCGUCCUGUCCUCCCUGCCCAGCUCAACCCAGCCCGGGGCCUCACCUGCUACCUCUUUCCUCCCAGGGGCUCCUGAGCUUUGCAGAGUCGGCAAACUUGAAUCUUAGCAUUCAUUUUGAUGCUCCAGGCAGGCCCGCCAUCUUCACCAUCAAGGACUCUUUGCUGGACGGCCACUUUGUCUUGG
RNAcentral lists this small RNA (1338 nucleotides) under Pan troglodytes (chimpanzee). RNAcentral's name for it is "retained intron". The record is from RNAcentral. Lineage: Eukaryota; Metazoa; Chordata; Mammalia; Primates; Hominidae.